This 500-nucleotide ribosomal RNA is filed under the name uncultured bacterium. RNAcentral describes it as "partial 16S ribosomal RNA". It matches the Rfam family "Bacterial small subunit ribosomal RNA", at positions 899 to 1397 of the family's 1533-position model. The record is from RNAcentral.
ACUCAAAUGAAUUGACGGGGGCCCGCACAAGCGGUGGAGCAUGUGGUUCAAUUCGAAGCAACGCGCAGAACCUUACCAACCCUUGACAUGUCCAGUAUGGAUUUCAGAGAUGAGAUUCUUCAGUUCGGCUGGCUGGAACACAGGUGCUGCAUGGCUGUCGUCAGCUCGUGUCGUGAGAUGUUGGGUUAAGUCCCGCAACGAGCGCAACCCUCGUCUUUAGUUGCCAUCAUUCAGUUGGGCACUCUAGAGAGACUGCCGGUGAUAAGCCGGAGGAAGGUGGGGAUGACGUCAAGUCCUCAUGGCCCUUACGGGUUGGGCUACACACGUGCUACAAUGGCGGUGACAAUGGGCAGCGAACCCGCAAGGGGGAGCUAAUCUUUAAAAGCCGUCUCAGUUCGGAUUGUGCUCUGCAACUCGAGCACAUGAAGCUGGAAUCGCUAGUAAUCGUAGAUCAGAACGCUACGGUGAAUACGUUCCCGGGCCUUGCACACACCGCCCGU